This 71-nucleotide transfer RNA is filed under the name Stegodyphus mimosarum. It matches the Rfam family "tRNA". Rfam says of the family: Transfer RNA (tRNA) molecules are approximately 80 nucleotides in length. Their secondary structure includes four short double-helical elements and three loops (D, anti-codon, and T loops). Lineage: Eukaryota; Metazoa; Arthropoda; Arachnida; Araneae; Eresidae. The record is from Rfam by way of RNAcentral.
GCGUUCAUGGUGUAACGGUAGCACAUUCGGUGCGUAUUCAAGAGGUCCAGGUUCGAGUCCCGGUGACGGCA